This 407-nucleotide ribosomal RNA is filed under the name uncultured bacterium. RNAcentral describes it as "partial 16S ribosomal RNA". It matches the Rfam family "Bacterial small subunit ribosomal RNA", at positions 28 to 526 of the family's 1533-position model. The record is from RNAcentral.
GACGAACGCUGGCGGCGUGCCUAAUACAUGCAAGUAGAACGCAGUUGCGAACGGGUGAGUAACGCGUAGGUAACUGCCUGGUAGCGGGGGAUAACUAUUGGAAACGAUAGCUAAUACCGCAUACUACCAGAUGGACCUGCGUUGUAUUAGCUAGUUGGUGAGGUAACGGCUCACCAAGGCGACGAUCCGUAGCUGGUUUGAGAGGACGACCAGCCACACUGGGACUGAGACACGGCCCAGACUCCUACGGGAGGCAGCAGUGGGGAAUUUUGGACAAUGGGGGAAACCCUAAUCCAGCCAUCCCGCGUGUGCGAUGAAGGCCUUCGGGUUGUAAAGCACUUUUGGCAGGAAAGCGGUACCUGCAGAAUAAGCACCGGCUAACUACGUGCCAGCAGCCGCGGUAAUAC